This 262-nucleotide ribosomal RNA is filed under the name uncultured Burkholderiales bacterium. RNAcentral's name for it is "partial 16S ribosomal RNA". It matches the Rfam family "Bacterial small subunit ribosomal RNA", at positions 524 to 785 of the family's 1533-position model. The record is from RNAcentral. Lineage: Bacteria; Pseudomonadati; Pseudomonadota; Betaproteobacteria; Burkholderiales.
UACGUAGGGUGCAAGCGUUAAUCGGAAUUACUGGGCGUAAAGCGUGCGCAGGCGGUUAUGCAAGACAGAGGUGAAAUCCCCGGGCUCAACCUGGGAACUGCCUUUGUGACUGCAUGGCUAGAGUACGGUAGAGGGGGAUGGAAUUCCGCGUGUAGCAGUGAAAUGCGUAGAUAUGCGGAGGAACACCGAUGGCGAAGGCAAUCCCCUGGACCUGUACUGACGCUCAUGCACGAAAGCGUGGGGAGCAAACAGGAUUAGAUAC